Molecule: ribosomal RNA, 497 nt
Filed under: uncultured bacterium
Lineage: Bacteria
Description: partial 16S ribosomal RNA
Rfam family: Bacterial small subunit ribosomal RNA
Source: RNAcentral
GAUGAACGCUGGCGGCGUGCCUAAUACAUGCAAGUCGAGCGAACGGACGAGAAGCUUGCUUCUCUGAUGUUAGCGGCGGACGGGUGAGUAACACGUGGAUAACCUACCUAUAAGACUGGGAUAACUUCGGGAAACCGGAUCUAAUACCGGAUAAUAUUUUGAACCGCAUGGUUCAAAAGUGAAAGACGGUCUUGCUGUCACUUAUAGAUUGAUCCGCGCUGCAUUAGCUAGUUGGUAAGGUAACUGCUUACCAAGGCAACGAUGCAUAGCCGACCUGAGAGGGGGAGCGGCAACACUGGAACGGAGACACGGUCCAGACUCCUACGGGAGGCAGCAGGAGGGAACCUUCCGCGAUGGGAGAAAGCCUGACGGAGCAACGCCGCGUGAGUGAUGAAGGUCUUCGGAUCGUAAAACUCUGUUAUUAGGGAAGAACAUAUGUGUAAGUAACUGUGCACAUCAUGACGGUACCUAAUCAGAUAGCCACGGCUAACUACGGG